This 460-nucleotide ribosomal RNA is filed under the name uncultured bacterium. RNAcentral's name for it is "partial 16S ribosomal RNA". It matches the Rfam family "Bacterial small subunit ribosomal RNA", at positions 338 to 795 of the family's 1533-position model. The record is from RNAcentral.
CCUACGGGGGACAGCAGUGAGGAAUAUUGGUCAAUGGACGAGAGUCUGAACCAGCCAAGUAGCGUGAAGGAUGACUGCACUAUGGGUUGUAAACUUCUUUUAUAUGGGAAUAAAAUGUUCCACGUGUGGGAUUUUGUAUGUACCAUAAGAAUAAGGAUCGGCUAACUCCGUGCCAGCAGCCGCGGUAAUACGGAGGAUCCGAGCGUUAUCCGGAUUUAUUGGGUUUAAAGGGAGCGUAGGUGGAUUGUUAAGUCAGUUGUGAAAGUUUGCGGCUCAACCGUAAAAUUGCAGUUGAAACUGGCAGUCUUGAGUACAGUAGAGGUGGGCGGAAUGCGUGGUGUAGCGGUGAAAUGCUUAGAUAUCACGCAGAACUCCGAUUGCGAAGGCAGUUCACUGGACUGCAACUGACACUGAGGCUCGAAAGUGUGGGUAUCAAACAGGAUUAGAUACCCUUGUAGUC